ACGAACGCUGGCGGCGUGCUUAACACAUGCAAGUCGAACGAAGAGCGAUGGAAGCUUGCUUCUAUCAAUCUUAGUGGCGAACGGGUGAGUAACGCGUAAUCAACCUGCCCUUCAGAGGGGGACAACAGUUGGAAACGACUGCUAAUACCGCAUACGAUCUAAUCUCGGCAUCGAGGAUGGAUGAAAGGUGGCCUCUACAUGUAAGCUAUCACUGAAGGAGGGGAUUGCGUCUGAUUAGCUAGUUGGAGGGGUAACGGCCCACCAAGGCGAUGAUCAGUAGCCGGUCUGAGAGGAUGAACGGCCACAUUGGGACUGAGACACGGCCCAGACUCCUACGGGAGGCAGCAGUGGGGAAUCUUCCGCAAUGGACGAAAGUCUGACGGAGCAACGCCGCGUGAGUGAUGACGGCCUUCGGGUUGUAAAGCUCUGUUAAUCGGGACGAAAGGCCUUCUUGCGAAUAGUGAGAAGGAUUGACGGUACCGGAAUAGAAAGCCACGGCUAACUACGUG
Molecule: ribosomal RNA, 509 nt
Filed under: uncultured bacterium
Lineage: Bacteria
Description: partial 16S ribosomal RNA
Rfam family: Bacterial small subunit ribosomal RNA
Source: RNAcentral